CUCCCUAGCCUCUGUACUCCUCAGCCUGUGCUGACUUCUGGAACCUUGCAUCCUCCCCAUGGCACCAGCCACACACUCAGGAUGGUUGACUCCAACCUUGGGGGGGCUCUGAGCUCCCCAGGGCAGGGGCUCCAGGUCUUCUUUUUCUCACAAAAGAAGCCAGGAUAGGGCCUGGGAUUUAGCUCAGUGGUUCUGGCACCUGCCUCACAAGCGCAAGGUCCCGAGUUCGAUCCCUGGUAUCAAAGAAAGAAGCCGGCUUAGCUCACCUCCCUGCAUGUCUGUCCCCACGGCACGUGCUGUUCCUCUGGCGGCUGGAGUUACCUGGGGACUGGGGCUCACGCUUUCCAGGGUCUCAUAGUAGCAGGGGUCUGGCAGUAUGGCUGGAGCAGUCGGAUGUGAUGGCCGAGUGAGGAGACUCACUAACCACAGAUGGAGAAUGGCAGCACCCAAGCCUGACUCGGGACCAAGCUGAACCCUGUACCCAGCACCAGUGAGAACAUGAAGAACCUGGCACGUGAUAUCAGUCUUCUAGCACGAGGCCAGUGUGACCUCCGGGGUCAGCUGUGGAGACACAGAAGGGCGGCAGUGACUGAGCUGUGGCCACCGACCUCUUGCUCUUGCAGCAUCUGUUCUGUGUGCAGGACACACCCGCUCUUUUCCUUCAGAGCACCUUUUCUCCCUGAGCACUUCUGUGCUUCUCCCUUUAUUCCUGCCCUAAAUAAAUGGU
This 727-nucleotide long non-coding RNA is filed under the name Heterocephalus glaber (naked mole-rat). RNAcentral's name for it is "lncRNA (ENSHGLG00100038247.1)". Lineage: Eukaryota; Metazoa; Chordata; Mammalia; Rodentia; Bathyergidae. The record is from RNAcentral.